AAAUGUGUUGUUUUCCAGGGUCAGCCACAGUAGUACGAUGGGUGCAGAGAAAUGUGUUGUUUUCCAGGGUCAGCCACAGUAGUACGAUGGGUGCAGAGAAAUGUGUUGUUUUCCAGGGUCAGCCACAGUAGUACGAUGGGUGCAGAGAAAUGUGUUGUUUUCCAGGGUCAGCCACAGUAGUACGAUGGGUGCAGAGAAAUGUGUUGUUUUCCAGGGUCAGCCACAGUAGUACGAUGGGUGCAGAGAAAUGUGUUGUUUUCCAGGGUCAGCCACAGUAGUACGAUGGGUGCAGAGAAAUGUGUUGUUUUCCAGGGUCAGCCACAGUAGUACGAUGGGUGCAGAGAAAUGUGUUGUUUUCCAGGGUCAGCCACAGUAGUACGAUGGGUGCAGAGAAAUGUGUUGUUUUCCAGGGUCAGCCACAGUAGUACGAUGGGUGCAGAGAAAUGUGUUGUUUUCCAGGGUCAGCCACAGUAGUACGAUGGGUGCAGAGAAAUGUGUUGUUUUCCAGGGUCAGCCACAGUAGUACGAUGGGUGCAGAGAAAUGUGUUGUUUUCCAGGGUCAGCCACAGUAGUACGAUGGGUGCAGAGAAAUGUGUUGUUUUCCAGGGUCAGCCACAGUAGUACGAUGGGUGCAGAGAAAUGUGUUGUUUUCCAGGGUCAGCCACAGUAGUACGAUGGGUGCAGAGAAAUGUGUUGUUUUCCAGGGUCAGCCACAGUAGUACGAUGGGUGCAGAGAAAUGUGUUGUUUUCCAGGGUCAGCCACAGUAGUACGAUGGGUGCAGAGAAAUGUGUUGUUUUCCAG
Oncorhynchus keta (chum salmon) is the source of this 802-nucleotide long non-coding RNA. RefSeq lists it as uncharacterized. The transcript has 3 exons. Lineage: Eukaryota; Metazoa; Chordata; Actinopteri; Salmoniformes; Salmonidae. The record is from RefSeq and is a predicted model, not a curated record.